AAAACACAAAAUUAGGAAGAUUUCGAUCAAACCCAACGAAGAGUCAUCGCCUGCAAGUAAUCAAGAAGAGAGAGAGAGAGAAUCAAAGAAAUGAGCAAACGAGUCAAACUCGAAGAGAGAGAGAGAGAGAUCUAAGCUUUUAGAUGACUACUUCGUCGAAGGUUUCGUGAGUUUUAACACCGAUAAGAUCCUAUGGGGACAAGCUGAUUCACUUGUCUUAAUGAAAUUGAAAUCUAAAGAAACCAUUUUUAUUUUUAUUUCACUAUAUGAAGAGAUAGGGAAGAUGAAGCGAAGCUAUUACAUUACAC
RNAcentral lists this long non-coding RNA (308 nucleotides) under Capsella grandiflora. Its description in RNAcentral is "long non-coding RNA (CGRA_LNC000923)". The record is from RNAcentral. Lineage: Eukaryota; Viridiplantae; Streptophyta; Magnoliopsida; Brassicales; Brassicaceae.